CAGUUAGGAAUCAGAAAUGAAGCACCAUGUACAUAUGUACUUUAAGACACAGGCGAAUCCAGGAUCUAGAGUCAGUAGAUUCAAAAUGUUUUAUAUGACGGACAAGCCUGUAAGGUCUUCAAAAUCCUGUUAUUUUGAAAGGAGAUACAACACGAGACCAAAUUCGUGUCUUUCAGAGAUUCAACAUAUACAUAUACAUAGUUGAGCAGUGCAGAGUUUGAACUACAGAAUCUCAUGCUUUAAUGUUUUGUUAUAAAAAAAAAAAAUUAGAAUUUUGAGGGAAUUUUCCCUUGUGUAAAUUUUGUUCUUCCCAAGUUUUUUGUUGUAUGGUUUUGUAAAUUAUGAAAUUACUUCUUGAUACACAUUUCAAAGUUUGAUUUUAG
RNAcentral lists this unclassified non-coding RNA (383 nucleotides) under Hevea brasiliensis (rubber tree). The record is from RNAcentral. Lineage: Eukaryota; Viridiplantae; Streptophyta; Magnoliopsida; Malpighiales; Euphorbiaceae.